GGAGGGGUACCCAAGAGGCUGAAGGGGCGGGUUUGCUAAACCUGUAGUGGUGUCAAAGCCAGCGAGAGUUCGAAUCUCUCCUCCUCCGCCA
This 91-nucleotide transfer RNA is filed under the name Candidatus Margulisbacteria bacterium GWD2_39_127. Its description in RNAcentral is "tRNA-Ser". It matches the Rfam family "tRNA". From Rfam's summary of the family: Transfer RNA (tRNA) molecules are approximately 80 nucleotides in length. Their secondary structure includes four short double-helical elements and three loops (D, anti-codon, and T loops). Further hydrogen bonds mediate the characteristic L-shaped molecular structure. tRNAs have two regions of fundamental functional importance: the anti-codon, which is responsible for specific mRNA codon recognition, and the 3' end, to which the tRNAs corresponding amino acid is attached (by aminoacyl-tRNA synthetases). tRNAs cope with the degeneracy of the genetic code in two manners: having more than one tRNA (with a specific anti-codon) for a particular amino acid; and 'wobble' base-pairing, i.e. permitting non-standard base-pairing at the 3rd anti-codon position. RNAcentral also lists the same sequence under 2 other names. The record is from RNAcentral. Lineage: Bacteria; Bacillati; Candidatus Margulisiibacteriota.